UCAAGUAAUUAAGUGCAUGUGGUGGAUGCCUUGGCAGUCAGAGGCGAUGAAAGACGUGAUAGCCUGCGAAAAGCUCCGGGGAGGCGGCAAAUAUCCUUUGAUCCGGAGAUGUCUGAAUGGGGGAACCCACCUACUUUAAGGUAGGUAUUGCAACAUGAAUACAUAGUGUUGCAAGGCGAACGAGGGGAAGUGAAACAUCUCAGUACCCUUAGGAAAAGAAAUCAAUUGAGAUUCCCUCAGUAGCGGCGAGCGAACGGGGAUCAGCCCAUUAAGUUAUGUGUGUUUUAGUGGAACGCUCUGGGAAGUGCGAACGUAGAGGGUGAUAUUCCCGUACACGAAAGGGCACACAUAAUGAUGACGAGUAGGGCGAGGCACGUGAAACCUUGUCUGAAUAUGGGGGGACCAUCCUCCAAGGCUAAAUACUCCUGACUGACCGAUAGUGAACCAGUACCGUGAGGGAAAGGCGAAAAGAACCCCUGUGAGGGGAGUGAAAUAGAUCCUGAAACCGCAUGCAUACAAGCAGUGGGAGCACCUUCGUGGUGUGACUGCGUACCUUUUGUAUAAUGGGUCAGCGACUUAUAUUCAGUAGCGAGGUUAACCGUAUAGGGGAGCCGUAGAGAAAUCGAGUCUUAAUAGGGCGUUUAGUUGCUGGGUAUAGACCCGAAACCAGGCGAUCUAUCCAUGAGCAGGUUGAAGGUUGGGUAACACUAACUGGAGGACCGAACCCACUGUCGUUGAAAAGCCAGGGGAUGACUUGUGGAUAGGGGUGAAAGGCUAAUCAAGCCUGGUGAUAGCUGGUUCUCCCCGAAAGCUAUUUAGGUAGCGCCUCGGACGAAUACCAUAGGGGGUAGAGCACUGUUUCGGCUAGGGGGUCAUCCCGACUUACCAAACCGAUGCAAACUCCGAAUACCUAUGAGUACUAUCCGGGAGACAGACUGCGGGUGCUAACGUCCGUAGUCAAGAGGAAAACAAUCCAGACCGCCAGCUAAGGCCCCAAAAUCAUAGUUAAGUGGGAAACGAUGUGGGAAGGCAUAGACAGCUAGGAGGUUGGCUUAGAAGCAGCCACCCUUUAAAGAAAGCGUAAUAGCUCACUAGUCGAGUCGGCCUGCGCGGAAGAUGUAACGGGGCUAAAACUAUGUGCCGAAGCUGCGGAUGUAUACUUUGUAUACGUGGUAGGGGAGCGUUCUGUAAGCCGAUGAAGGUGUGUUGAGAAGCAUGCUGGAGGUAUCAGAAGUGCGAAUGCUGACGUGAGUAACGACAAAACGGGUGAAAAACCCGUUCGCCGAAAGACCAAGGGUUCCAGUCCAACGUUAAUCGGGGCUGGGUGAGUCGACCCCUAAGGCGAGGCCGAAAGGCGUAGUCGAUGGGAAAAUGGUUAAUAUUCCAUUACUUCUGUGUAAUGCGAUGAGAGGACGGAGAAGGCUAAAUCAGCCUGGCGUUGGUUGUCCAGGUGAAAGGAUGUAGGCAUGUAUCUUAGGCAAAUCCGGGGUACUCUAUGCUGAGAUCUGAUAGCAAGCUGUACUUGUACAGCGAAGUGGUUGAUGCCAUGCUUCCAGGAAAAGUCUCUAAGCUUCAGUUACACAGGAAUCGUACCCGAAACCGACACAGGUGGUCAGGUCGAGUAGACCAAGGCGCUUGAGAGAACUCUGCUGAAGGAACUAGGCAAAAUGGUACCGUAACUUCGGGAGAAGGUACGCUGUUGUUGGUGAUGGAACUCGCUUCCUGAGCUGACGACAGCCGCAGAAACCAGGCCGCUGCAACUGUUUAUUAAAAACAUAGCACUCUGCAAACACGAAAGUGGACGUAUAGGGUGUGAUGCCUGCCCGGUGCUGGAAGGUUAAUUGAUGGGGUUAGCGUAAGCGAAGCUCUUGAUCGAAGCCCCAGUAAACGGCGGCCGUAACUAUAACGGUCCUAAGGUAGCGAAAUUCCUUGUCGGGUAAGUUCCGACCUGCACGAAUGGCAUAAUGAUGGCGGCGCUGUCUCCAGCAGAGGCUCAGUGAAAUCGAAAUCGCUGUGAAGAUGCAGUGUACCCGCGGCUAGACGGAAAGACCCCGUGAACCUUUACUGCAGCUUGACACUGAACUUUGACCUUACUUGUGUAGGAUAGGUGGGAGGCUUUGAAGCUGGAACGCUAGUUCCAGUGGAGCCGUCCUUGAAAUACCACCCUGGUAAUGUUGAGGUUCUAACUCUGUCCCGUGAUCCGGGACGAGGACCGUGUCUGGUGGGUAGUUUGACUGGGGCGGUCUCCUCCUAAAGAGUAACGGAGGAGUACGAAGGUGCGCUCAGCGUGGUCGGAAAUCACGCGUAGAGUAUAAAGGCAAAAGCGCGCUUAACUGCGAGACCCACAAGUCGAGCAGGUACGAAAGUAGGUCUUAGUGAUCCGGUGGUUCUGUAUGGAAGGGCCAUCGCUCAACGGAUAAAAGGUACUCUGGGGAUAACAGGCUGAUACCGCCCAAGAGUUCAUAUCGACGGCGGUGUUUGGCACCUCGAUGUCGGCUCAUCUCAUCCUGGGGCUGAAGCAGGUCCCAAGGGUAUGGCUGUUCGCCAUUUAAAGAGGUACGCGAGCUGGGUUUAGAACGUCGUGAGACAGUUCGGUCCCUAUCUACCGUGGGCGCUGGAAAUUUGAGAGGAUCUGCUCCUAGUACGAGAGGACCAGAGUGGACGAACCUCUGGUGUACCGGUUGUGACGCCAGUCGCAUCGCCGGGUAGCUA
This 2712-nucleotide ribosomal RNA is filed under the name Acinetobacter baumannii 1121032. RNAcentral describes it as "bacterial LSU rRNA". It matches the Rfam family "Bacterial large subunit ribosomal RNA". The record is from RNAcentral. Lineage: Bacteria; Pseudomonadati; Pseudomonadota; Gammaproteobacteria; Moraxellales; Moraxellaceae.